GAUGAAGAACGCAGCAAAAUGCGAUAAGUAGUGUGAAUUGCAGAAUUCAGUGAAUCAUCGAAUCUUUGAACGCACAUUGCGCCCCUUGGUAUUCCAUGGGGCAUGCCUGUUCGAGCGUCAUUUGUACCUUCAAGCUUUGCUUGGUGUUGGGUGUUUGUCCAUUCUCUUGCAGAGGGACUCGCCUUAAAGUAAUUGGCAGCCAGUGUUUUGGUUUUGAAGCGCAGCACAAGUCGCGAUUCAAAGCUAUACGCCCGCUUCCACAAGCCUUUUUCACUUUUGACCUCGGAUCAGGUAGGGAUACCCGCUGAACUUAAGCAUAUCAAUAAGCGGAGGA
RNAcentral lists this unclassified non-coding RNA (334 nucleotides) under soil metagenome. Its description in RNAcentral is "partial contains 5.8S ribosomal RNA, internal transcribed spacer 2, and large subunit ribosomal RNA". The stretch from base 1 to 120 matches the Rfam family "5.8S ribosomal RNA", at positions 35 to 154 of the family's 154-position model. The record is from RNAcentral.